Molecule: ribosomal RNA, 40 nt
Filed under: Fusarium falciforme
Lineage: Eukaryota; Fungi; Ascomycota; Sordariomycetes; Hypocreales; Nectriaceae
Description: partial 28S ribosomal RNA
Source: RNAcentral
UUGACCUCGAAUCAGGUAGGAAUACCCGCUGAACUUAACA